UCCCUAGUGGCUCAGAUGGUAAAGUAUCUGCCUGUAAUGCAGGAGACCUGGGUUUGAUCCCUGAGUUGGGAA
This 72-nucleotide transfer RNA is filed under the name Ovis aries (sheep). It matches the Rfam family "tRNA". From Rfam's summary of the family: Transfer RNA (tRNA) molecules are approximately 80 nucleotides in length. Their secondary structure includes four short double-helical elements and three loops (D, anti-codon, and T loops). Further hydrogen bonds mediate the characteristic L-shaped molecular structure. tRNAs have two regions of fundamental functional importance: the anti-codon, which is responsible for specific mRNA codon recognition, and the 3' end, to which the tRNAs corresponding amino acid is attached (by aminoacyl-tRNA synthetases). tRNAs cope with the degeneracy of the genetic code in two manners: having more than one tRNA (with a specific anti-codon) for a particular amino acid; and 'wobble' base-pairing, i.e. permitting non-standard base-pairing at the 3rd anti-codon position. Lineage: Eukaryota; Metazoa; Chordata; Mammalia; Artiodactyla; Bovidae. The record is from Rfam by way of RNAcentral.